Molecule: ribosomal RNA, 135 nt
Filed under: Triticum aestivum (bread wheat)
Lineage: Eukaryota; Viridiplantae; Streptophyta; Magnoliopsida; Poales; Poaceae
Source: RNAcentral
GGAUGCGAUCAUACCAGCACUAAAGCACCGGAUCCCAUCAGAACUCCGAAGUUAAGCGUGCUUGGGUUAAGCGUGCUUGGGCGAGACUAUGUACUAGGAUGGGUGACCUCCUGGGAAGUCCUCGUGUUGCAUUCC